AGGGCGCACGGUGGAUGCCUUGGCACUAGAAGCCGAUGAAGGACGUUACUAACGACGAUAUGCUUUGGGGAGCUGUAAGUAAGCUUUGAUCCAGAGAUUUCCGAAUGGGGAAACCCAACAUGAGUUAUGUCAUGUUAUCGAUAUGUGAAUACAUAGCAUAUCAGAAGGCACACCCGGAGAACUGAAACAUCUUAGUACCCGGAGGAAGAGAAAGAAAAAUCGAUUCCCUUAGUAGCGGCGAGCGAAACGGGAAGAGCCCAAACCAACAAGCUUGCUUGUUGGGGUUGUAGGACACUCUAUACGGAGUUACAAAGGACGACAUUAGACGAAUCAUCUGGAAAGAUGAAUCAAAGAAGGUAAUAAUCCUGUAGUCGAAAAUGUUGUCUCUCUUGAGUGGAUCCUGAGUACGACGGAGCACGUGAAAUUCCGUCGGAAUCUGGGAGGACCAUCUCCUAAGGCUAAAUACUCUCUAGUGACCGAUAGUGAACCAGUACCGUGAGGGAAAGGUGAAAAGCACCCCGGAAGGGGAGUGAAAUAGAACCUGAAACCGUGUGCUUACAAGUAGUCAGAGCCCGUUAAUGGGUGAUGGCGUGCCUUUUGUAGAAUGAACCGGCGAGUUACGAUUUGAUGCAAGGUUAAGCAGUAAAUGUGGAGCCGUAGCGAAAGCGAGUCUGAAUAGGGCGUUUAGUAUUUGGUCGUAGACCCGAAACCAGGUGAUCUACCCUUGGUCAGGUUGAAGUUCAGGUAACACUGAAUGGAGGACCGAACCGACUUACGUUGAAAAGUGAGCGGAUGAACUGAGGGUAGCGGAGAAAUUCCAAUCGAACCUGGAGAUAGCUGGUUCUCUCCGAAAUAGCUUUAGGGCUAGCCUCAAGUGAUGAUUAUUGGAGGUAGAGCACUGUUUGGACGAGGGGCCCCUCUCGGGUUACCGAAUUCAGACAAACUCCGAAUGCCAAUUAAUUUAACUUGGGAGUCAGAACAUGGGUGAUAAGGUCCGUGUUCGAAAGGGAAACAGCCCAGACCACCAGCUAAGGUCCCAAAAUAUAUGUUAAGUGGAAAAGGAUGUGGCGUUGCCCAGACAACUAGGAUGUUGGCUUAGAAGCAGCCAUCAUUUAAAGAGUGCGUAAUAGCUCACUAGUCGAGUGACACUGCGCCGAAAAUGUACCGGGGCUAAACAUAUUACCGAAGCUGUGGAUUGUCCUUUGGACAAUGGUAGGAGAGCGUUCUAAGGGCGUUGAAGCAUGAUCGUAAGGACAUGUGGAGCGCUUAGAAGUGAGAAUGCCGGUGUGAGUAGCGAAAGACGGGUGAGAAUCCCGUCCACCGAUUGACUAAGGUUUCCAGAGGAAGGCUCGUCCGCUCUGGGUUAGUCGGGUCCUAAGCUGAGGCCGACAGGCGUAGGCGAUGGAUAACAGGUUGAUAUUCCUGUACCACCUAUAAUCGUUUUAAUCGAUGGGGGGACGCAGUAGGAUAGGCGAAGCGUGCGAUUGGAUUGCACGUCUAAGCAGUAAGGCUGAGUAUUAGGCAAAUCCGGUACUCGUUAAGGCUGAGCUGUGAUGGGGAGAAGACAUUGUGUCUUCGAGUCGUUGAUUUCACACUGCCGAGAAAAGCCUCUAGAUAGAAAAUAGGUGCCCGUACCGCAAACCGACACAGGUAGUCAAGAUGAGAAUUCUAAGGUGAGCGAGCGAACUCUCGUUAAGGAACUCGGCAAAAUGACCCCGUAACUUCGGGAGAAGGGGUGCUCUUUAGGGUUAACGCCCAGAAGAGCCGCAGUGAAUAGGCCCAAGCGACUGUUUAUCAAAAACACAGGUCUCUGCUAAACCGUAAGGUGAUGUAUAGGGGCUGACGCCUGCCCGGUGCUGGAAGGUUAAGAGGAGUGGUUAGCUUCUGCGAAGCUACGAAUCGAAGCCCCAGUAAACGGCGGCCGUAACUAUAACGGUCCUAAGGUAGCGAAAUUCCUUGUCGGGUAAGUUCCGACCCGCACGAAAGGCGUAACGAUUUGGGCACUGUCUCAACGAGAGACUCGGUGAAAUCAUAGUACCUGUGAAGAUGCAGGUUACCCGCGACAGGACGGAAAGACCCCGUGGAGCUUUACUGUAGCCUGAUAUUGAAAUUCGGCACAGCUUGUACAGGAUAGGUAGGAGCCUUUGAAACGUGAGCGCUAGCUUACGUGGAGGCGCUGGUGGGAUACUACCCUAGCUGUGUUGGCUUUCUAACCCGCACCACUUAUCGUGGUGGGAGACAGUGUCAGGCGGGCAGUUUGACUGGGGCGGUCGCCUCCUAAAAGGUAACGGAGGCGCUCAAAGGUUCCCUCAGAAUGGUUGGAAAUCAUUCAUAGAGUGUAAAGGCAUAAGGGAGCUUGACUGCGAGACCUACAAGUCGAGCAGGGUCGAAAGACGG
This 2397-nucleotide ribosomal RNA is filed under the name Staphylococcus aureus. RNAcentral's name for it is "bacterial LSU rRNA". It matches the Rfam family "Bacterial large subunit ribosomal RNA", at positions 14 to 2409 of the family's 2925-position model. Lineage: Bacteria; Bacillati; Bacillota; Bacilli; Caryophanales; Staphylococcaceae. The record is from RNAcentral.